Long non-coding RNA from Paramormyrops kingsleyae, 2043 nucleotides. RefSeq lists it as uncharacterized. The record is from RefSeq and is a predicted model, not a curated record. NCBI's taxonomy places the organism in Eukaryota, Metazoa, Chordata, Actinopteri, Osteoglossiformes, Mormyridae.
UUUUACGAUCUGCGGUGUGGAUUGGCUGUAUGUUGGAUGUUCCCACUAGAACAAAUACUGCAUGCUUGAAACUACUCAGCAUUAUUCGGUUAAAAACUUUGGCGCUUAAUGAUUACAACGCAGCUAAACGAUUUUUGGAAAAAUAUAAAAGCUACAAUUUGCUGUCUAUACCGUUGCAAAAAAGACGCGGCCUUCGUUGAUAUUAACUUAAGAAUCUUUUGCGUUCUUCUGCUUGUACAGUAAAUAAGCUCCACAUAUUGAUUUUUCAGUAACAGCUGUUUAACUAAACAUGCCAGAAUGCCUUCGUGUUCUGCGUAUCGGUGUAGAAACCGUUCAGAAGAUGCCAAGAAGAAAGGCCUCACAUUUCACAGGUUUCCAGCAAGUGACCCCAAAAGGCUACGGCAGUGGGUUAUAAAUAUGAAGUGGGAUAAGUGGAUGCCAUCGAAACGGUCACUUCUGUGCUCCAGUCACUUCCAGGAGGACUGCUUUGACAGAAGUGGACUAACAGUGCGUCUCACACCUUCGGCUGUGCCAACUAUAUUCUCCUUCCCUGCUCAUCUACAAAAGAAAUCUCUUGGUCGAAAGCCCCCAAAGAGACCAGUAAUUACAGCAACACCAACAAUGUCUCUUAAAAGCCCAUCCAUAGCUACUGUUAGUGGAAAUACAGUCCCUACUCUUUUCAGAAAAAUGGUUGUGAAUGAGCACAAUUAUGCAGUUCUGGAGUCAUCUCGGCAAUUAAAGCAAAAACUGGAUAUUUUGAAUGAGCAGCUGGACAUUUAUCAAAAAAAGCUGAGCAAUGAACGGAAAGAGUCAGCCCGCCUGAAGAAGAAGGCGUGCCACUUAGCUUCAGUUGUGGCCAGCCUUAGGAAACGGAGAAAACAAAGAAUUCUUCAUCAGACAGCUACAGCUGAUUGACCUGCAUCACCAUUCUGUUUAAAGUGAUUGAAUUGAUGAAGCCGAUAAAUAUUUGCAUGCAAAAAGUGGCAAGGAUCACAAGGAGUAAACAUCUGAUUUAUUUUUGCUUUGGACACAAUAUCAGUGAUGUCUCGUCCUGAUGUGAGUACUGUUGACCAUAUCUCCCGUGCCUCUUCUCUGGCAGUGCGCUACAUUGUGGUGGCUUUCUUCAUGCUACACUCUUAAGGAACCAUCACAGUCACCAGCCAGAAUAUCAUUCCGUUUAUGCAAAACAGGAUUUUUAUGCACUCUGAAACUUCCGUGGAAGAGACUAGAGUAAGUUCAACAACGUGAGAGACUGUGGAAAAUUUUCUGCUGUCCUGCUGUCGGAUCCUUCACAAAUUGUGAAAUAGUGACGAGCAAAGAGUCCAGCACCACUUUCGUGGUGAUGACUUCUCUUAAUGCCCCUACUUUGGCCCAGUUGGAGUAGAACUGUGCGUAAACUGUGCAUGGUGGCAAGGAUCUGGGAGUCUUUGCGAGAGGCGUCUCCAGCGAGGCCUUGUCGUGUUCUGCUGCCUGCGAUGAAGGCAGAGUGAACCCCAAGGUGGUUGAAUCCUAGAUCCUCCUCACCCAUGUAGCACAGCAGAGGUUCUCAUUGGGUCUUUUGCAAGGUGAUGCCUGGUGACUGAGCAUCAUAGCCGCUUUUGACCUCAGCAAACUGCAGGAAAUAUGGUUUCAUCCUCAAGCUUUUCUGCUAUUAGCAGUGGGACAUCCUUUCCCAGGAACCUCCCCCGACGGCAGCAUCCUGUUAGACAUCUUACUGUUCGGAGCCUGUGUCAGUAGCCAGAAGGGCCUGGAGUGAGCGGAGCACCUGAUAUUUUUCAAAAGAAACAUUUUCUUAACUUUUUGUAUGUACCUAUGAGUGUUUAACCUGCAGAGAAAAAAACACACUGCUUGUUCUCUAUGUUACUCUGGUAUUGUUGAAACCUGAAAUAUUAUAGUUUGUUGAAUGUUGUGACGUGUCGCCAGAAGUGUUCCUGUGAUACUUCUAUACCUUUCUUUGAAAACUGCAGACCCCACUGUGAGAACUUUGGGAAUUCUGUAGCUCCUAAGGAAAUGACUAAUAAAAUCUCAGCUCAUUUGGUUACA